UAUUAAAAUAAUUUAAUAAGAAUACUAUAUUGAAGCUAUAGAGGUAGAGUUGGUCUUUUUAAUA
This 64-nucleotide transfer RNA is filed under the name Hirondellea gigas. RNAcentral describes it as "tRNA-Phe". Lineage: Eukaryota; Metazoa; Arthropoda; Malacostraca; Amphipoda; Lysianassidae. The record is from RNAcentral.